RNAcentral lists this long non-coding RNA (624 nucleotides) under Gallus gallus (chicken). Its description in RNAcentral is "long non-coding RNA NONGGAT002404". The record is from RNAcentral. Lineage: Eukaryota; Metazoa; Chordata; Aves; Galliformes; Phasianidae.
AGCAGGAGGAGAGCUGGCAGCUGGCAUGUGCUGCUGGGAGUGGUUUUCUGGUUGUGAAGUUUUGCUUCUACUUAGGUGUGGGGUCCUAGAGUGGAGUGCUUAAAAGCUACCUGUCCUUGCUGUUAUUAAAUUCCUUUUCCCACGGUGGAACUGCAGAAGAGGCACUAUGCAAUAACCUGUGAUCAGGAUCCCAGUUAUGUGCUGGAUAGGCAGCUGAAGAAGCUCCUAGACCUGUCUUUCUAAGAUUUGGACAGAGCCUAUAGAUAAGCAUGAAAGUCGAUCUGUUGGUGAAAGCUCUGGAGAGGUGCAGAGACAGGGAGGAAACGAGGCACCAUCCCACUGAAAUCAGCAGGACUCUGUGGUGCUCUGAGAAAGGCAUACAUAUGCCUGGAUCAAGUUGAUAUUUACAGAAGGCUCCUUUUGAAUUGGCUUUUGAUUAUACACCUAUGUCAGAGGGUGGACAGUGAGACUCAGUGUGACUUGUUUCCAUGAGAGAAAGAUGGUGAAAGAUUGUGAAGCUCCCCUUGCGAUUAAAACUGUUGAAACAGCUGUUAUCUGGUAGCUGCUCUCACCGGGCAGUUUCCUGAUGUCAGUCAGCGGCUGUGGGGCUGCAGCAGCAAUUGG